GUCACGGAUUUUGAUAAUGGUUUUAAAUGUUCAUUGUCAAUGCAUAUGUUUCAAAGUAUGCUAUUUAAUAUUAUAUGUUUAUAUAUUUUAUAUGUGGUUUAUAUAAUACGCACCCACACACAGUUUUAUUAAGAUUCUUGUAGAUAUCAAAAUUAUGUAGCUAAUAAUUAUAAGCUUAUGUACAUGCACCCAAUAAACAUUGAUCUUGUAUACCUAAGUCUCAGACUUAGUGCUUAAGAUUUUCUAUAUUAUCAAAAUCUUUGUGUAAUUUAAAGAUUGAUAUUCCUUCUUAUAAAUGGAAUAAGGUAUAUUUAAACCUGGUUACAGAGCAAUUUUAUAUAAUUUAUAUCAGGUCACAGCCAGCUGAUGAAGAUCCUCAGCUUAUACAGAGGUCAGGCUUGAGCUAUGUGCUGAUUCAAAAGAUGCUAAUGACAGUGGAUAAUCCAUUCUGAGCUGUUCUAGGACCAUUCACCAAGGUUCCAAAACACUGAUGGGUCUGAAGGCAGUACCUGUAUUGGUGUCUGGUCUGUGAUUUCAAGUAUAAUUGAUGUACCUCCUCCUGAUGUAUCUCCUCGAGACACUAAACUACUGAAAAGGUGCACAGGGGACAUUUUUGUGUGUAUAGACUUUCAUCAAGAUUCUGAGAAAGUUGAUUUAUCAAACAAAAAUAGUCAGAUUGUGUCUUCAAAGCUGAAAAGAUUUAAGAUCUUAGGAAAACAUUAGAACUCAAGAAAAGUAAUGGGGUUAUGAAACUGUAGUGUUCAACAUUUAAAUUGUUUUUUGUUUUUUUUUUCACUACAUUUUGUGAAGAGGGUUCCAUCACAAGAUGCGAAAUAUUGCCUGAUAUUGGUAAGAAUGAGAUGUAGUUUAUGAAAAAAAAGUAUUUUGCUUUAAAUGUGCAGACUUUAAGUUACAUAAAAAAUCAAAGCUCUAACAAUAAAGCUUGAUUAAAAAGACACACUGUUGAAAACUAGCCUUCAUGUAAAUGUCACACUGUUUUGGGUGCACAGGGGACACAAUUAGCUAUAUAAUUUAAUAUAACUUUAACCCUUAGGCCCUUGCUAAAUUUCUAUAAUGAACUUGUACGUUUUACAAUUUGGACAGUAUUAUUAAGUGUUAAAAGGGGUGCUAACCAAAAGAUACUGACUGAAUGGCGAACAGUGCAGAUAAAGAUCAGACUGCACAGAUGUGCAGGCUUAUCAUGAUCUACACUUGUUGCAAAGGUAGGACCAACCAUGUACAGCAUGGUAAGGGUUAAAACUGCUUGAGCCAUUCAGCUGAAAUUGCAAACAUUUGUUGACUACAUUGAUUGGAUAUAUGUAAUUUGCCCCAAAACACUUUAUAAAACUGAACUGAAUUAAAAUAAGGUGAGAGAGAAGAAAAAGCUUAAUUAUUUAAAAAAAAAAACUAUAGCCGAUAGAUAUAUAUUGUUGAAGGCAUUAUCUUUGUUUACAUUAAAUUUAAAUGUGGCUGCCACGUUGUUUGUUAGGAACAUGAGACACAUUAAUUUCUUGUUUUCGAAUUUUAAUUAUCGCAUUUAUGUGUCAAAGAUUGGCAUGGGUGAAAAUGUUACUGAAAAUAUUAAAUCAGUUUUUAUUGAUUAACUCCUUUUUUGGCUUGUGCAGUAUAAAGUCAUGUGCAUCAUUGAAAGUAUAAUAUAGUACUUUUCUAACCAACUGAUAAACAUUCUAUUUUUGGAAAGUUUGCUGCAUAAAGUUAAAGGGUUUUUUUGUAUGAAAUUUAGAUGGUGUAGGCCUUAAAGCUGUUUACUUUAAAAACCUCCUUGUAUCAUUUCUAAUGUUUUCUCUUUUAAUUGACCCUGAGUGGCAGUUCUUGUUAACUACAAAACCAUCUAUUAUUAUUGGUUAACUAAUUAUUGGAAUAGUGAUCAUUUUAACAUUGUUUCAUCACAUUGCACUCCUUUAUGGGAAUAGGUAGGCAAUAGCACAUUUAACUAUUAAACUAUUUAUCAAACUAUGUCAUUUGAAUGAAAACAGCCUUAGACACACCUGAAAAUCAGAUAAAUUUGAAAAUACAUGCAGAUUUUUAAAAAUGUUUUUGGAUUUAAGUUAUAACAUUUUCUUAUUUUUAUCUUCAGUUGGUUAUUAAUGCAACUGAUUGUUUUUUAUCAACAUCUGUUGUCAGGUGUGUUUCGUCCCAAUUUAAUUUUGUGACCCAUACAGUGUUUCCAGGACUCAUCAGUAAGAGAAACACCAUCAACUUGAGUCAACAACAUAACUUUUAACAUGUGAACAGAAGUUAAUUAUAAACAUUUUCAUAGGAAGAAUAGUGAACUGGAACAGUAAAUGAAAAUUUAAAAGAAAUGAAAAUGAUAACCUGUACACUUUGGCAUUUCAUAGUUAUUUUUAAAAAAUCAAAUUUAUCUGAGAAGACAAUGACAGUGAAAUAUAAAAUUUUACUUAAAAUUAUUGUUGUAAAUCAUACUGAAAUCUAACAACUUACUGGUAAUAUAAAUUUUAUCAAUAGCAUAGAGUAAAGAUUUUCUGAUAUUUUUGGAAAGAUUUGAAAAACAUUGUACUUUAAAUGUUCAACCAAUAUUUUAGAUCAAAUUAUGAAAUGCCAUAUUUAUUUAUAAAUGAAUAAAACUGUUGUCAACUUAUAAAAAAUUCUGUUAACUUUAAUAAAUUAUUAGAACUUAAA
Long non-coding RNA from Mercenaria mercenaria, 2661 nucleotides. RefSeq lists it as uncharacterized. The record is from RefSeq and is a predicted model, not a curated record. The transcript is spliced from 2 exons. Lineage: Eukaryota; Metazoa; Mollusca; Bivalvia; Venerida; Veneridae.